UUAUGAUAAUUCACCAUUUAAUUCAACCAUCUUACAAUUAGUUUUUAUGAAUUGCAUGGAUAAAAAAAAAAAAGCAAAAGGAAAAAUAUCAGUUAAGGGAAGGGAGAGAACAAAAGGAAAGAGAGAGAGAAUUGAGAGUUGGGCUCCUUUGCUCUUGAUGUAGAGGGAGUUUGACAUCACUCACAGAAGGGCAAGUUACAACCUUAUCAGACCAUAUCUUUUUGACAAAUCCAGUGCAAAUUAAUGAGAGAUUCUUGGUUUAAAAUUUGCUCUCUAUGGUAACCAUGGUGCUAGGAUUUUGGAGAUGGCGAGGUUGGUGAGUUGGCGCUGGAGCUUUGACAGGCUUUUAAUUGCUACUCCGUGACUGUUAAAAACUGAAAAUACCAUAAGCUACCCUUUCUCUUCGGCAGUGGCGGUGUGAUUAAGCUUGGCAGUGCUCGGUGGGAUGCGCAGUGCUUUUAAGUUUAAACUAUUUGUUUCGGUUAUGUUUAUCUUAGCUUUUUUUUUUUGGGCAUGCUAGCCUCUCGAGGCUUUAUUCUCUCUCUCUCUCUUCAGCUGUUGUAGCGACAACAGACAGUGACUACAGGGUUCUAGAAUGCUCUUCGAGUUAAGACUUGGUAAACUGUUAGGCUCGCUGAUUAGUGGGUUUGAAUUUUGAGCUCGUUUGUACACUUUGUUUUUGA
This 683-nucleotide long non-coding RNA is filed under the name Manihot esculenta (cassava). RNAcentral's name for it is "long non-coding RNA (MESC_LNC002238)". Lineage: Eukaryota; Viridiplantae; Streptophyta; Magnoliopsida; Malpighiales; Euphorbiaceae. The record is from RNAcentral.